GAUGAACGCUGGCGGCGUGCCUAAUACAUGCAAGUCGAGCGAACGGACGAGAAGCUUGCUUUUCUGAUGUUAGCGGCGGACGGGUGAGUAACACGUGGAUAACCUACCUUUAAGACUGGGAUAACUUCGGGAAACCGGAGCUAAUACCGGAUAAUAUUUUGAACCGCAUGGUUCAAAAGUGAAAGACGGUCUUGCUGUCACUUAUAGAUGGAUCCGCGCUGCAUUAGCUAGUUGGUAAGGUAACGGCUUACCAAGGCAACGAUGCAUAGCCGACCUGAGAGGGUGAUCGGCCACACUGGAACUGAGACACGGUCCAGACUCCUACGGGAGGCAGCAGUAGGGAAUCUUCCGCAAUGGGCGAAAGCCUGACGGAGCAACGCCGCGUGAGUGAUGAAGGUCUUCGGAUCGUAAAACUCUGUUAUUAGGGAAGAACAUAUGUGUAAGUAACUGUGCACAUCUUGACGGUACCUAAUCAGAAAGCCACGGCUAACUACGUG
RNAcentral lists this ribosomal RNA (497 nucleotides) under uncultured bacterium. Its description in RNAcentral is "partial 16S ribosomal RNA". It matches the Rfam family "Bacterial small subunit ribosomal RNA", at positions 28 to 507 of the family's 1533-position model. The record is from RNAcentral.